This 510-nucleotide ribosomal RNA is filed under the name uncultured bacterium. RNAcentral's name for it is "partial 16S ribosomal RNA". It matches the Rfam family "Bacterial small subunit ribosomal RNA", at positions 28 to 507 of the family's 1533-position model. The record is from RNAcentral.
GACGAACGCUGGCGGCGUGCUUAACACAUGCAAGUCGAACGAAGAGCGACGGAAGCUUGCUUCUAUCAAUCUUAGUGGCGAACGGGUGAGUAACGCGUAAUCAACCUGCCCUUCAGAGGGGGACAACAGUUGGAAACGACUGCUAAUACCGCAUACGAUCUAACCUCGGCAUCGAGGAUAGAUGAAAGGUGGCCUCUACAUGUAAGCUAUCACUGAAGGAGGGGAUUGCGUCUGAUUAGCUAGUUGGAGGGGUAACGGCCCACCAAGGCGAUGAUCAGUAGCCGGUCUGAGAGGAUGAACGGCCACAUUUGGACUGAGACACGGCCCAGACUCCUACGGGAGGCAGCAGUGGGGAAUCUUCCGCAAUGGACGAAAGUCUGACGGAGCAACGCCGCGUGAGUGAGGACGGCCUUCGGGUUGUAAAGCUCUGUUAAUCGGGACGAAAGGCCUUCUUGCGAAUAGUGAGAUGGAUUGACGGUACCGGAAUAGAAAGCCACGGCUAACUACGUG